Molecule: ribosomal RNA, 429 nt
Filed under: uncultured bacterium
Lineage: Bacteria
Description: bacterial SSU rRNA
Rfam family: Bacterial small subunit ribosomal RNA
Source: RNAcentral
AUUGAACGCUGGCGGCAUGCCUUACACAUGCAAGUCGAACGGUAACAGGGAGCUUGCUCCGCUGACGAGUGGCGAACGGGUGAGUAAUGCAUCGGAACGUGCCCAAGAGUGGGGGAUAACGUAGCGAAAGUUACGCUAAUACCGCAUAUUCUGUGAGCAGGAAAGCAGGGGAUCGCAAGACCUUGCGCUUUUGGAGCGGCCGAUGUCGGAUUAGCUAGUUGGUGAGGUAAAAGCUCACCAAGGCGACGAUCCGUAGCUGGUCUUAGAGGAUGAUCAGCCACACUGGGACUGAGACACGGCCCAGACUCCUACGGGAGGCAGCAGUGGGGAAUUUUGGACAAUGGGGGAAACCCUGAUCCAGCCAUGCCGCGUGAGUGAAGAAGGCCUUCGGGUUGUAAAGCUCUUUCGGACAGAAAGAAAACGCACGGG